CUUUGGUUGUAAGCUCUUUCGGUUGGGAAGAAGGGAAUAUGGCUAAUACCACAUAUUUUGACGGUACCAGCAUAAGAAGCACCGGCUAAUUCCGUGC
Molecule: ribosomal RNA, 97 nt
Filed under: uncultured bacterium
Lineage: Bacteria
Description: partial 16S ribosomal RNA
Source: RNAcentral